RNAcentral lists this ribosomal RNA (253 nucleotides) under uncultured bacterium. RNAcentral's name for it is "partial 16S ribosomal RNA". It matches the Rfam family "Bacterial small subunit ribosomal RNA", at positions 524 to 776 of the family's 1533-position model. The record is from RNAcentral.
GACGAAGGGGGCUAGCGUUGUUCGGAAUUACUGGGCGUAAAGCGAGUGUAGGUGGUUGUCGUAGUCAGGCGUGAAAGCCUUGAGCUCAACUCAAGAAAUGCGCUUGAUACUGGGCAGCUAGAGGACCGGAGAGGAUAGUGGAAUUCCCAGUGUAGUGGUGAAAUACGUAGAUAUUGGGAGGAACACCAGUGGCGAAGGCGGCUCACUGGACCGGUACUGACGCUGAUGCGCGAAAGCGUGGGGAGCAAACGGG